AACGCGAAGAACCUUACCUAGAAAAAGACAUGUUGGUGAAAAGUGUGGAAACACACUCCUCCUUCGGGACACCAUCACAGGUGGUGCAUGGCUGUCGUCAGCUCGUGUCGUGAGAUGUUGGGUUAAGUCCCGCAACGAGCGCAACCCCCGUUCCAUGUUGCCAGCAUUAAGUUGGGGACUCAUGGGAGACUGCCGGUGUCAACUCGGAGGAAGGUGGGGACGACGUCAAGUCAUCAUGCCCCUUAUGUCCAGGGCUACACACGUGCUACAAUGGGCCGUACAAAGGGUUGCGGGAGCGCAAGCUGGAGCCAAUCCCUAAAAGCGGUCCUCAGUUCGGAUUGCAGACUGCAACUCGCCUGCAUGAAGUCGGAAUCGCUAGUAAUCGUGAAUCAGAAUGUCUCGGUGAAUACGUUCCCGGGCCUUGUACACACC
RNAcentral lists this ribosomal RNA (432 nucleotides) under uncultured bacterium. RNAcentral's name for it is "bacterial SSU rRNA". It matches the Rfam family "Bacterial small subunit ribosomal RNA", at positions 958 to 1391 of the family's 1533-position model. The record is from RNAcentral.